Molecule: transfer RNA, 76 nt
Filed under: Fusobacterium sp. DD1
Lineage: Bacteria; Fusobacteriati; Fusobacteriota; Fusobacteriia; Fusobacteriales; Fusobacteriaceae
Also listed under: 16 other names
Description: tRNA-Thr
Rfam family: tRNA
About the family: Transfer RNA (tRNA) molecules are approximately 80 nucleotides in length.
Source: RNAcentral
GCUCUAGUAGCUCAGAUGGCAGAGCGCUUGCAUGGUAAGCAAGAGGUAGGUGGUUCAAUUCCACUCUGGAGCACCA